Molecule: ribosomal RNA, 574 nt
Filed under: uncultured bacterium
Lineage: Bacteria
Description: bacterial SSU rRNA
Rfam family: Bacterial small subunit ribosomal RNA
Source: RNAcentral
UGCAAGUCGAACGAGACCUUCGGGUCUAGUGGCGCACGGGUGAGUAACGCGUGGAAACCUACCAUUCUGUACGGAAUAACGAUUGGAAACGAUCGCUAAUACCGUAUACGCCCUGUGGGGGAAAGGUCCGCCGCAGAAUGAGGGGUCCGCGUCCGAUUAGCUUGUUGGUGGGGUAAAAGCCUACCAAGGCGAUGAUCGGUAGCUGGUCUGAGAGGAUGAUCAGCCACACUGGGACUGAGACACGGCCCAGACUCCUACGGGAGGCAGCAGUGGGGAAAUAUUGGGACAAUGGGGGGCAACCCCUGAUCCCAGCAAUGCCCGCGUGUGAGAAGAAAGGCCUUAGGGGUUGUAAAGCACUUUUCAAUGGUGAAGAUGAUGACGGUAGCCGUAAAAGAAGCCCCGGCUAACUUCGUUGCCAGCAGCCGCCGGUAAUACGAAGGGGGCGAGCGUUGUNGGAAAUACUGGGCGGUAAAGGGCGCGCAGGCGGGCCAUCCAGUCAGGUGUGGAAAGCCCCGGGCUUUACCUGGGAACUGCACCUUGAUACUGAUUGGCUAGAANCGGAGAGGGCAGUGGA